RNAcentral lists this long non-coding RNA (249 nucleotides) under Elaeis guineensis (African oil palm). Its description in RNAcentral is "long non-coding RNA (EGUI_LNC017704)". The record is from RNAcentral. Lineage: Eukaryota; Viridiplantae; Streptophyta; Magnoliopsida; Arecales; Arecaceae.
GCCGUGCAAUUUUUAUCAAUAGAUUUUUCUAUUGCAAACAAUGUUAAGAAGAACCCUGGACAUCUCAAGUUUAUUAUUAAUGGAUUAACGGUUUUUUGGUUAGGCUCGAACCUAGAAUGCUUUGGCAUAAAUCUUAUUUUUCAAGAUUUAAUAUUAUUAAUCCAUAUGGUUGUAAGGGCAUAAGAUUUUUCUAAAAUAAAAAGUUUAAUCAUUAAAUCAUGUGAUGAUUUAAAGAAAAAAGAAGGCCAU